This is a transfer RNA of Felis catus (domestic cat), 85 nucleotides long. It matches the Rfam family "tRNA". From Rfam's summary of the family: Transfer RNA (tRNA) molecules are approximately 80 nucleotides in length. Their secondary structure includes four short double-helical elements and three loops (D, anti-codon, and T loops). The record is from Rfam. NCBI's taxonomy places the organism in Eukaryota, Metazoa, Chordata, Mammalia, Carnivora, Felidae.
GCCUGGGUGGCUCAGUCGGUUGAGCGUCCGACUUCGGCUCAGGUCAUGAUCUCACAGUUCGUGGGUUCGAGCCCCGCGUCGGGCU